RNAcentral lists this ribosomal RNA (253 nucleotides) under uncultured bacterium. RNAcentral's name for it is "partial 16S ribosomal RNA". It matches the Rfam family "Bacterial small subunit ribosomal RNA", at positions 524 to 776 of the family's 1533-position model. The record is from RNAcentral.
UACGUAGGGUGCGAGCGUUAAUCGGAAUUACUGGGCGUAAAGCGUGCGCAGGCGGCGCGUUAAGACAGGUGUGAAAGCUCCGAGCUUAACUUGGGAAUUGCGCUUGUGACUGGCGUGCUGGAGUGUGGCAGAGGGAGGUGGAAUUCCACGUGUAGCAGUGAAAUGCGUAGAGAUGUGGAGGAACACCGAUGGCGAAGGCAGCCUCCUGGGCCAGCACUGACGCUCAUGCACGAAAGCGUGGGGAGCAAACAGG